AGUGAACGCUGGCGGUAGGCCUAACACAUGCAAGUCGAACGGCAGCACAGUAAGCGCUUGCUCUUACGGGUGGCGAGUGGCGGACGGGUGAGGAAUACAUCGGAAUCUACUUUUUCGUGGGGGAUAACGUAGGGAAACUUACGCUAAUACCGCAUACGACCUACGGGUGAAAGCAGGGGAUCUUCGGACCUUGCGCGAUUGAAUGAGCCGAUGUCGGAUUAGCUAGUUGGCGGGGUAAAGGCCCACCAAGGCGACGAUCCGUAGCUGGUCUGAGAGGAUGAUCAGCCACACUGGAACUGAGACACGGUCCAGACUCCUACGGGAGGCAGCAGUAGGGAAUAUUGGACAAUGGGCGCAAGCCUGAUCCAGCCAUACCGCGUGGGUGAAGAAGGCCUUCGGGUUGUAAAGCCCUUUUGUUGGGAAAGAAAAGCAGCAGGUUAAUACCCCGCUGUUCUGACGGUACCCAAAGAAUAAGCACCGGCUAACUUCGCG
This 492-nucleotide ribosomal RNA is filed under the name uncultured bacterium. Its description in RNAcentral is "partial 16S ribosomal RNA". It matches the Rfam family "Bacterial small subunit ribosomal RNA", at positions 29 to 507 of the family's 1533-position model. The record is from RNAcentral.